Molecule: ribosomal RNA, 498 nt
Filed under: uncultured bacterium
Lineage: Bacteria
Description: bacterial SSU rRNA
Rfam family: Bacterial small subunit ribosomal RNA
Source: RNAcentral
AGUGAACGCUGGCGGCAGGCCUAAUACAUGCAAGUCGAACGGCAGCACGGCAGAGCUUGCUCUGUGGGUGGCGAGUGGCGGACGGGUGAGGAAUACAUGGGAAUCUGCCCAGUCGUGGGGGAUAACGUAGGGAAACUUACGCUAAUACCGCAUGCGCCCUUCGGGGAAAGCCGGGGACCUUCGGGCCUGGCGCGAUUGGAUGAGCCCAUGUCGGAUUAGCUAGUUGGCGGGGUAAUGGCCCACCAAGGCGACGAUCCGUAGCUGGUCUGAGAGGAUGAUCAGCCACACUGGAACUGAGACACGGUCCAGACUCCUACGGGAGGCAGCAGUAGGGAAUAUUGGACAAUGGGCGCAAGCCUGAUCCAGCCAUGCCGCGUGAGUGAAGAAGGCCCUCGGGUUGUAAAGCUCUUUUGUCCGGAAAGAAAAGCGCCGGGUUAAUACCCUGGUGUCCUGACGGUACCGGAAGAUAAGCACCGGCUAACUUCGUGCCAGCAGCCG